Molecule: long non-coding RNA, 220 nt
Filed under: Musa acuminata (dwarf banana)
Lineage: Eukaryota; Viridiplantae; Streptophyta; Magnoliopsida; Zingiberales; Musaceae
Description: long non-coding RNA (MACU_LNC011925)
Source: RNAcentral
GUAUUGAUGAAAUUAUUUGAGAGCAGGAGGAGGAAAUAAAGAAAUCAUAAUCCUCAUCUUUUCAUCGAUUGAGCUAUGAUCAAUUUAGAGGACUAAAUUUUCUUUUAAGGGGGGGAGAGUGUAAUAUCCCUCACUUUUGAAAAUUUAUUAAUAAGAAUUUAUAUGUAAAUUGGAGGACCUAUAUGUAAAUAUAGAAAUUUCAAGGACUAAACUGUUAAGU